GAUGAACGCUAGCUACAGGCUUAACACAUGCAAGUCGAGGGCAGCACAGUGUAGCAAUACAUGGGUGGCGACCGGCGCACGGGUGCGUAACGCGUAUCCAACCUUCCCGAUACUCUUGGAUAGCCUUCCGAAAGGGAGAUUAAUACCAAGAUGGUGUUUCACUUUCGCAUGUUAUUGAACUAAGAUUUAUCGGUAUCGGAUGGGGAUGCGUGACAUUAGAUAGUAGGCGGGGUAACGGCCCACCUAGUCUACGAUGUCCUAAGGGGUUCUGAGAGGAAGGUCCCCCANACUGGAACUGAGACACGGUCCAGACUCCUACGGGA
RNAcentral lists this ribosomal RNA (323 nucleotides) under uncultured bacterium. RNAcentral's name for it is "bacterial SSU rRNA". It matches the Rfam family "Bacterial small subunit ribosomal RNA", at positions 28 to 346 of the family's 1533-position model. The record is from RNAcentral.